RNAcentral lists this transfer RNA (66 nucleotides) under Blanus tingitanus. RNAcentral describes it as "tRNA-Ser". The record is from RNAcentral. Lineage: Eukaryota; Metazoa; Chordata; Lepidosauria; Squamata; Blanidae.
AAGGGGCGUAUAAACACCUAGAAUUGCUAAUUCCGGCAUCCAAGACGAAACUUCUUGGGCCCCUUA